CCAAGCGCGGGUGGCUGGAACACUGAAUUUGGGGAAGAACCUGCAGGGUGAUCGAGUCGCCUGCGCUUGUGGACACCGGCCAUGCUCGACACACACUGAGCGGACGUUGCCCGGGCGCAAGUCGCAUUAGCCAUGGGCAACUUCCAGCUGGAAGACUUCGCGGCGGGCUGGAUCGGAGGUGCAGCCAGUGUCAUUGUUGGCUACCCUCUGGACACAGUCAAGACUCGCCUGCAGGCUGGUGUUGGCUAUGGGAACACAUUCAACUGUAUCCGCAUGGUGUACAAGAGGGAGAGUGUGUUUGGCUUCUUCAAGGGCAUGUCCUUCCCCCUGGCCAGCGUUGCCGUCUACAACUCGGUGGUGUUCGGGGUCUUCAGUAACACGGAACGGUUCCUCAGCCGGCACCGCUGUGAGGAGCCUGAGACCGGCCCUGGCCGAAGUCUGUCUGACCUCCUCCUGGCCAGCAUGGUGGCCGGUGUGAUCUCUGUUGGGCUGGGCGGUCCCGUGGACCUCAUCAAGAUCCGACUGCAGAUGCAAACACAGCCGUUUCGGGAAGCCAACCAUGGGUUGAAGACCAGGGCAGUGGCUCUAGGGGAGCAGGCAGCAUACCAGGGACCAAUACACUGCAUCGCAACCAUUGUGCGGACCGAGGGCCUGGCAGGACUAUACCGGGGAGCCAGUGCCAUGCUGCUGAGGGACAUCCCAGGAUAUUGCCUCUACUUUAUUCCCUAUGUGUUCCUGAGUGAAUGGAUCACACCCGAGGCCUGCACAGGGCCCAGCCCCUAUGCUGUGUGGCUGGCAGGUGGCAUUGCAGGAAGGACUGCAGAGGCCUGUGAAGCAGUUGCUGUCCCACAGAUAAAUGUUGCCACAUGUGGAGCCUCACUGUGGCCUGGUCUCACCUUCCACGCAACCACAGGCAUCUGUUCACACGUCUUCACAGCUGCCUCACGAACACAGCACUUCAGCCCCAGUCCACAGAGCAGGGGCAAUUUCCUGGGGGACAGCAACUCCGAUGGAUGUCGUGAAAAGUCGACUCCAAGCUGAUGGGGUCUAUUUAAACAGAUACAGUGGAGUCCUGGACUGUAUCUCCCAGAGUUACCGUCAAGAAGGCUUGAAGGCCAAACUGUCCUGUGGCUGCCAGUGUCCCCUGAAACUGGACGAAUAUACAGGCUGGCUGCCUCUUUCUGAAAAUGACCCACUCUGUCUUUGCCAUGAUUCUGUGUGAGAGACAGUUCACGUGCCUGGCAGCUCUCAGAUCGUGCUUGGGGGAGGGUUUACCUCUUGACUGUGUGCAAGUUCCAGAGAAGACCGUAAGGAGCAGCUCCCUCCCCGCUUCCCUAGCCCCUCUCUGUCCCCGUCAUCGCCUGGUAAUAUUGUCAUUGCUCCAGAAUGUUCUUAGCUCACCUAAGAGGGUAUAGGCCGCCCACCGGACACCAGGCAGAAAGAUGCAGGGAGUCAGGAGCUCAUGAGAGCCCUGCCAUAGCAUUGCCCAGAAACAGGUGACAGCUCGUGACAGAGGCAGAGGCUGCUAGCCACUUCUCCAUUCAGACUGCUACCUCAGCCUCCACAGGUGAUGGCUGUUGAGGAUGAGGAUGGCAGUCAGUCACUGGGUACCUGCUGCUUCAGUGGGCACUAGGAGAAGCUUAAGAAGCAUUGUCUGGGUUGUUCCCUGGAUCUCCCAUUAGUAGCCCAACAUUGCCACUAUAAUUAGAGAUGCUGUCACCCACCCAUGCUGUGACCCUAUCCAUGGCCUGCGACUUUAAGCAUUGUCCUGCGUCUGUACUGUACCACUUGGGGAUGCUGUAGGAAGCACCUGUUGCUAUCACUGAGUGGGGCUGAGUGCUUUAUAUCGAGAUUCCAGAACCCUGGGGUGGGGGGCAGGAAAGAGACAGAGAACAAACACAGGUGCAUCCCACCACACCAGCUCAGAAUUGCUUGGAUCUCAGCUUGCUGAAGCCUUAUGUAUAGCAGAGCCCAUGAUGACAAGUGCCAUCACAGGUACUAUGGGUUGGGGACAGGCCAGAGGCUGCCCGCCCGCAUAGAGAUCUUUUGGGCUCUGGUCAGGCUAGGGCUGGGCUGCAGUGCAUUUGCAGUCUUUUCCCUCACCGUCAGAAGAGUGUGGGUCGGCACUGUAGAGGGCUAGCCCUGGAGUAACUACCC
Molecule: non-coding RNA, 2157 nt
Organism: Peromyscus maniculatus bairdii (prairie deer mouse)
Lineage: Eukaryota; Metazoa; Chordata; Mammalia; Rodentia; Cricetidae
Source: RefSeq, a predicted model, not a curated record